UACGAAGGGGGCUAGCGUUGCUCGGAAUCACUGGGCGUAAAGGGUGCGUAGGCGGGUCUUUAAGUCGGGGGUGAAAUCCUGGAGCUCAACUCCAGAACUGCCUUCGAUACUGGAAGACUCGAGUCCGGGAGAGGUGAGUGGAACUGCGAGUGUAGAGGUGAAAUCGUAGAUAUUCGCAAGAACACCAGUGGCGAAGGCGGCUCACUGGCCCGGUACUGACGCUGAGGUGCGAAAGCGUGGGGAGCAAACAGGG
This 253-nucleotide ribosomal RNA is filed under the name uncultured bacterium. RNAcentral describes it as "partial 16S ribosomal RNA". It matches the Rfam family "Bacterial small subunit ribosomal RNA", at positions 524 to 777 of the family's 1533-position model. The record is from RNAcentral.